RNAcentral lists this long non-coding RNA (483 nucleotides) under Arabidopsis lyrata. RNAcentral describes it as "long non-coding RNA (ALYR_LNC002622)". Lineage: Eukaryota; Viridiplantae; Streptophyta; Magnoliopsida; Brassicales; Brassicaceae. The record is from RNAcentral.
CUUCGGAAACAUGUACUAUGGCAACAACUAUGGAAGAGAUGGCAUUUCAGAAUGAAAGAGGAAACCAUAGUCAAUAAGCGGAAACGAUAUCAAAGGUUGAUUUCAAAGAAAGUAAAGUCAAAGUCGAAUCCCCAUGUAAAGACUCGGAUACGAAAAUAUUGGUAUCCGAUAGUCAUAGUUUCAGAACUUACGAUGGAAGCAAUAGGUUUCACCAUGCAGUGUGCAAUUUGGAGAUCAAGCCAAGAGAAGGUAUCCACGCACACAGUUCGCAUCAGAGCGAGAUCGAAUAUGAAGAAGGAAAAUAAUGGAUCUAAUAAUCCGUUAGCGAGUAAGGCUUAUCUGAGAAAAGCAUCGUCAAAUUCCUUUUGUAUCGUGUAUCUUUCUUACUAUAUGGCGCAUAAAUAUGCUUAUGUAAUAAUUUGCUUUUCGAAAGUUCUGUAACCUGACUUUGUAAUGUUGAUUUGAUAUCAAUGAAUUUAGAAG